GCCCUUUCUUCUUCUUGCCAAAUUUUGUUUGGUUUGAAUUUUAGAAGGAGGUGAGGCAUUAGCUCGAAGCAAAAAGUUAGCGGAGGAUUACCUUGCAAGGAAGAGGAAUCGUCAAUUUAAAGGGUAUCCAGUCAUGAUACUUCAACUUGUGUUCAGAAUCUUCUAAAAAAAUACAAGGAGCUAGUGCUCUGUCUGGUGAAAACUAGAGCUGAUGAUACCAAGAUAAUUGUGUUUUGCGCCAAAUUGGGCAAGGAAUGGGAUUGGGCAGUGGUAGUGGCCAACGGGUUCUCUGGAGGCAUUAUUACAUUAUGGAGAAAACAUAUCGAAAGAGUUACCUCAGUCACUGUUUCCCGAAAGGCAUUUCACUUGCUUGGUACAUUUGGAAGGCCAGAUGUAAUGCCAUUUUUCAAGAAUGAAGUGCAUGACUUUAACAGCAUUCCUAGGAAAGCUUAUGCUUUGGCACAAGAAUAUUCUGCUGCUUCCAAUCCUCAAAGGGGAAAGAACCUCAUCCUUGCCGAUUUUUCUUAUGCUGAGGGUCCUUUUCUGUUUUCGGCAACUUUUUGUUCCAGGGAUAUGUUAAUGGGAGGUGCAGGCUUUUACAUUGUUGGUUCCAACUAUGUUAUCUCUUUGGCAGGCUGUUGCCCCAUUGCAAAUAGUUCGGAAUUAGACACUAAAAUCAAAGCACUUCUCCUUAGUUUGCAGUGUGUCGCUUUGCAAGGCAUUAAUUUACAACACAUUUUCAUAGCUUAGUCAGAUAUUCAUGCUGCUCUUCAAGAUGAUACUCAUGUGAAUGCUUGGAGAAUUGAUUCGGCCCUAAACCUUCUCAAGUAUCUGCUUCUAUAGGCUGGCAAUCCCAAAAUUCAUCUCACCCCUAAGAGAUGAUGCAUCAUUGUUGCUAGAUUAGCUUGCCAUAGCAUCUCCACUCAUUCCUUAUCUUUGUUUUAUCAAGGUAGAGAUCUGUCCAGAUGGAUUAUGAAGACUAUCCAAGUGAAUGGUUUUCAUUUGUAAUAUGUUGUCUUUGUUUUGGUUUUCUGUUUUGUUCUUGUGUUUUGCUUUUGUUCCUUUGUGUA
This is a long non-coding RNA of Dioscorea cayenensis subsp. rotundata (Guinea yam), 1070 nucleotides long. RefSeq lists it as uncharacterized. The transcript has 4 exons. The record is from RefSeq and is a predicted model, not a curated record. NCBI's taxonomy places the organism in Eukaryota, Viridiplantae, Streptophyta, Magnoliopsida, Dioscoreales, Dioscoreaceae.